This 661-nucleotide ribosomal RNA is filed under the name uncultured bacterium. RNAcentral's name for it is "bacterial SSU rRNA". It matches the Rfam family "Bacterial small subunit ribosomal RNA", at positions 60 to 711 of the family's 1533-position model. The record is from RNAcentral.
AGUCGAGGGGCAGCAUAUAGAUUGCUUGCAUUUAUGAUGGCGACCGGCGCACGGGUGAGUAACGCGUAUCCAACCUACCCAUUACUAGGGAAUAACCCAGCGAAAGUUGGCCUAAUGCCCUAUGUAGUCGUUUGAUCGCCUGAGAUUUCGACGAAAGAUUUAUCGGUAUUGGAUGGGGAUGCGUCUGAUUAGCUUGUUGGCGGGGUAAAGGCCCACCAAGGCAACGAUCAGUAGGGGUUCUGAGAGGAAGGUCCCCCACAUUGGAACUGAGACACGGUCCAAACUCCUACGGGAGGCAGCAGUGAGGAAUAUUGGUCAAUGGGCGAGAGCCUGAACCAGCCAAGUAGCGUGCAGGAUGACGGCCCUAUGGGUUGUAAACUGCUUUUAUAUGGGAAUAAAGUGAGGGACGUGUCCCUUAUUGCAUGUACCAUAUGAAUAAGGACCGGCUAAUUCCGUGCCAGCAGCCGCGGUAAUACGGAAGGUCCAGGCGUUAUCCGGAUUUAUUGGGUUUAAAGGGAGCGUAGGCUGUUUGUUAAGCGUGUUGUGAAAUGUAAGAGCUCAACUUUUAGAUUGCAGCGCGAACUGGCAGACUUGAGUGCGCACAACGUAGGCGGAAUUCAUGGUGUAGCGGUGAAAUGCUUAGAUAUCAUGACGAACUCCG